RNAcentral lists this ribosomal RNA (305 nucleotides) under uncultured bacterium. Its description in RNAcentral is "bacterial SSU rRNA". It matches the Rfam family "Bacterial small subunit ribosomal RNA", at positions 333 to 631 of the family's 1533-position model. The record is from RNAcentral.
UGUGACUUACGGGGGGCAGCAGUGGGGAAUCUUCCGCAAUGGGCGAAAGCCUGACGGAGCAACGCCGCGUGAUCGAAUGAAGGCCUUCGGGUUGUAAAGAUCUGUUGACAGGGACGAAUAAGCAAUGCAAAUAGUUUUGUGUAUGACGGUACCUGUUUAGAAAGCUCCGGCUAACUACGUGCCAGCAGCCGCGGUAAUACGUAGGGAGCAAGCGUUGUCCGGAAUUACUGGGCGUGAAGGGCGCGUAGGUGGGCGCUUAAGACAGGUGUGAAAACUCCGGGCUCAACCUGGAGCCUGCACUUGAA